CAGAGGUCUCAAGCGUUGUUCGGAUUCAUUGGGCGUAAAGGGUGCGUAGGCGGCGCGGUAAGUCGGAUGUGAAAUCUUGGAGCUUAACUCCGAAACUGCAUUCGAUACUGCCGUGCUUGAGGACUGGAGAGGAGACUGGAAUUUACGGUGUAGCGGUGAAAUGCGUAGAUAUCGUAAGGAAGACCAGUGGCGAAGGCGGGUCUCUGGACAGUUCCUGACGCUGAGGCACGAAGGCCAGGGGAGCAAACGGGAUUAGAUACCCCGGUAGUCCUGGCAGUAAACGGUGCACGUUUGGUGUGGGAGGAUUCGACCCCUUCUGCGCCGGAGCUAACGCGUUAAACGUGCCGCCUGGGGAGUACGGUCGCAAGAUUA
RNAcentral lists this ribosomal RNA (372 nucleotides) under uncultured organism. Its description in RNAcentral is "bacterial SSU rRNA". It matches the Rfam family "Bacterial small subunit ribosomal RNA", at positions 526 to 896 of the family's 1533-position model. The record is from RNAcentral.